RNAcentral lists this ribosomal RNA (176 nucleotides) under Kaempferia pulchra. RNAcentral's name for it is "5.8S ribosomal RNA". The stretch from base 18 to 173 matches the Rfam family "5.8S ribosomal RNA". From Rfam's summary of the family: 5.8S ribosomal RNA (5.8S rRNA) is a component of the large subunit of the eukaryotic ribosome. The record is from RNAcentral. Lineage: Eukaryota; Viridiplantae; Streptophyta; Magnoliopsida; Zingiberales; Zingiberaceae.
CAAACAAUCAAUCAAAUGACUCUCGGCAAUGGAUAUCUCGGCUCUUGCAUCGAUGAAGAACGUAGUGAAAUGCGAUACUUGGUGUGAAUUGCAGAAUCUCGUGAACCAUUGAGUCUUUGAACGCAAGUUGUGCCCGAGGCCUUCUGGCCGAGGGCACGCCUGCUUGGGAGUCAUGG